This 73-nucleotide transfer RNA is filed under the name Cordylochernes scorpioides. RNAcentral describes it as "tRNA-Arg". The record is from RNAcentral. Lineage: Eukaryota; Metazoa; Arthropoda; Arachnida; Pseudoscorpiones; Chernetidae.
GCCACCAUGACCUAAUGGAUAAGGCAUCUGUCUCCUAAUUCGGGGAUUGCGGGUUCGAGUCCCACCGGGGGUA